AAAAUCUAUUACUUCAGGACUUUCCCCAUGGUAGAAUCUAGUGAUAUAAACUUAUAAACUUCCUUAAAGACAACGUACUGUUAUUCACGUCAGUGUUAGGACUUAAACUACUACAGUAAUUCACUGGGGCCGGUUUUGUGCUGUGACAUGUAAAACCUAGUCCUUACCUUAGAGAGCUUCCAGCUGAACAGGGAACCAAAAUAUGUCACCAGCCCUAAUUCCAAGUAGCACACUGUAUUUAGUAAUCGUUCUCGGGAAGCUUUUUGAGUAAAAAAGAAAGUGGUUGUUAUUGUAGACAGUUCCUCAGAAAGGAACUAUAUGCCAGAAAAGACUGGUUAAAAUAGAGUUUUAAGACCAAUUGAAUUAUUUGGAAAUAAAGAUGAGAGGAAAA
This 391-nucleotide long non-coding RNA is filed under the name Bos taurus (domestic cattle). Its description in RNAcentral is "long non-coding RNA NONBTAT004123". The record is from RNAcentral. Lineage: Eukaryota; Metazoa; Chordata; Mammalia; Artiodactyla; Bovidae.